RNAcentral lists this ribosomal RNA (253 nucleotides) under uncultured bacterium. RNAcentral's name for it is "partial 16S ribosomal RNA". It matches the Rfam family "Bacterial small subunit ribosomal RNA", at positions 524 to 776 of the family's 1533-position model. The record is from RNAcentral.
UACGAAGGGUGCAAGCGUUACUCGGAAUUACUGGGCGUAGAGCGUGCGUAGGUGGUUCGUUAAGUCUGAUGUGAAAGCCCUGGGCUCAACCUGGGAAUGGCAUUGGAUACUGGCGACCUAGAGUGCGGUAGAGGGGUGUGGAAUUCCCGGUGUAGCAGUGAAAUGCGUAGAUAUCGGGAGGAACACCAGUGGCGAAGGCGAGUCCCUGGACAACUUCUGACGCUGAGGCACGAAAGCUAGGGGAGCAAACAGG